RNAcentral lists this ribosomal RNA (253 nucleotides) under uncultured bacterium. RNAcentral's name for it is "partial 16S ribosomal RNA". It matches the Rfam family "Bacterial small subunit ribosomal RNA", at positions 524 to 776 of the family's 1533-position model. The record is from RNAcentral.
UACGGGGGGGGCAAGCGUUGUUCGGAAUUACUGGGCGUAAAGGGCUCGUAGGUGGCCAACUAAGUCAGACGUGAAAUCCCUCGGCUUAACCUGGGAACUGCAUCCGAUACUGGAUGGCUUGAAUCCGGGAGAGGGAUGCAGAAUUCCAGGUGUAGCGGUGAAAUGCGUAGAUAUCUGGAGGAAUACCGGUGGCGAAGGCGGCAUCCUGGACCGGCAUUGACGCUGAUGAGCGAAAGCUAGGGGAGCAAACGGG